RNAcentral lists this unclassified non-coding RNA (331 nucleotides) under Hevea brasiliensis (rubber tree). Lineage: Eukaryota; Viridiplantae; Streptophyta; Magnoliopsida; Malpighiales; Euphorbiaceae. The record is from RNAcentral.
GUUUUAUAGUCACAUGCGCCUAAAAAAAAGUUAAUUUACAUUUAAUCAGGACUUGUUGGCCAUUGUCAUUGUAUGAACUGUAGAUAUGCAUACAUCCACAUCUGUAUGGAAACACGGAUCACACGUAAAAAAACACAAACCAUAAGAACCCUAUAAACCUUAUACUUUCUGUUGAGUCCAAUGUUUUGUAUUUCUUUUUCUUCUCUCUUCUGUAACUUGGAUAACAGACAUCAUUACUUGUUGGACAUUAUUUUUUCCAUCGUCAGUUAUUCAUUGUAUGACCUAGUUUUUCCUGUGUCUUAUAUGUAUGAAUCAAGUCUCAGACCUUGGC